RNAcentral lists this transfer RNA (66 nucleotides) under Chrysotimus molliculus. RNAcentral describes it as "tRNA-Tyr". It matches the Rfam family "tRNA". Rfam says of the family: Transfer RNA (tRNA) molecules are approximately 80 nucleotides in length. Their secondary structure includes four short double-helical elements and three loops (D, anti-codon, and T loops). Further hydrogen bonds mediate the characteristic L-shaped molecular structure. tRNAs have two regions of fundamental functional importance: the anti-codon, which is responsible for specific mRNA codon recognition, and the 3' end, to which the tRNAs corresponding amino acid is attached (by aminoacyl-tRNA synthetases). tRNAs cope with the degeneracy of the genetic code in two manners: having more than one tRNA (with a specific anti-codon) for a particular amino acid; and 'wobble' base-pairing, i.e. permitting non-standard base-pairing at the 3rd anti-codon position. The record is from RNAcentral. Lineage: Eukaryota; Metazoa; Arthropoda; Insecta; Diptera; Dolichopodidae.
GAUUAAAUGGCUGAAUUUAAAGGCGAUAGAUUGUAAAUCUAUUUAUGAGAUUAUUCUCUUUAAUCA